Molecule: long non-coding RNA, 1075 nt
Filed under: Homo sapiens (human)
Lineage: Eukaryota; Metazoa; Chordata; Mammalia; Primates; Hominidae
Description: non-protein coding HHIP-AS1:7
Source: RNAcentral
AGCCGCGACGGCGGCGGACGGAGGGGGAGGGCCGCGAGCCUUCGGAACCAGCCUCGAGGGUGCUGAACCCCGCGCGCCCGCCUCGCCGCGGCCCCCGGGUGGGGGCGUCCACGGCCCGGGUUCCCGGCGGGCUUGGGGCAGGGACGCAGUCCGGAGAUUCCGGGACUGCCCGGCUGCUGCAGCCCGCAGGCUCCUCUCUCCUCCCCGCUUCCCCUCCGCACUGCCUGGGCUAAAGGCGGCCAAGCUGAGGCUCCGAAAGAAAAGGGAAAAUUGCAACCCUUGCCUACAACCAGACUGACAGCAUAAUUUCUUAGGAAUCAAGAAUCAAUACAGGGUUAUUUCUUUAGAUUAAACCUUAAAAGCCCCCUUGGAGGCUGAAGAAGCAGAGGAUAGCCAUGCAUACACUUGAACGUGAAAAAUGGUCCUCUUUCAUUGGAGAGGUCUUCCUCUUCAGCUAAACCGACAGAGUGGUGAAAAGAAGAAGGGACCCCUUGUUGACCAAAAUAAUCCAGACAAAUCAAAUCGGCCCUUUCCAGCAAGGAGUGGAACAGCCCAAGGGUGGCUAGAUCACAUCUUCUGCUCACACCACCACUGAGCAACCCUCUCCAGGACUGCCACCUAUGCAUAGGUCAUGCCCUGUGCAAGAGCACAUAAAGUGGGAGCUGAAGUCCUGCCCAGGCUCCAUUCACCAAGCAGAGCUUAUGUUGUUGUGUGUCUGUGUCUACCCAGAGGAUGUGGGUCCUUUUUAAAAUGUGCACCAAUGCAUCUUGUAUGAGCUGGCACCAGCUCGGACCAUCCCACCCUCAUACCCUGGUCCUAUCCAGGGUUAUAUUCCCUACUUUAGAAGAAUUAAUUAUUUUUAUGAACGUAUUUAGUUUAUUGUAAAAAAUGAAAUAUAUGACACAAAUUGAAAUUAAUUUCAGAGGUAAAGGUCAGAAUAUUACCAUGUAUGUGAAUUAUGUUUGUAUGUAUAUGUAUAUAUCAAGAGAGUUAUAUGAAUAUACAUUUUUGUGUAUCAGAAGUGAGGACAAUUUAACUUUGUUAAGUGUUUGAAAUAAAAUUAUUUUGAGUUUUG